UGCAAGUCGAACGGGAAGAGAUGAAGAGCUUGCUCUUUAUCGAAUCCAGUGGCAAACGGGUGAGUAACACGUAAACAACCUGCCUUCAGGAUGGGGACAACAGACGGAAACGACUGCUAAUACCGAAUACGUUCCACGGGCCGCAUGACCUGUGGAAGAAAGGGUAGCCUCUACCUGUAAGCUAUCGCCUGAAGAGGGGUUUGCGUCUGAUUAGGCAGUUGGUGGGGUAACGGCCCACCAAACCAACGAUCAGUAGCCGGUCUGAGAGGAUGAACGGCCACACUGGAACUGAGACACGGUCCAGACUCCUACGGGAGGCAGCAGUGGGGAAUCUUCCGCAAUGGACGAAAGUCUGACGGAGCAACGCCGCGUGAGUGAAGACGGCCUUCGGGUUGUAAAGCUCUGUGAUCCGGGACGAAAGAGCCUGAGGUAAAUAGCCUAAGGAAGUGACGGUACCGGAAAAGCAAGCCACGGCUAACUACGUGCCAGCAGCCGCAGUAAUACGUAGGUGGCAAGCGUUGUCCGGAAUUAUUGGGCGUAAAGCGCGCGCAGGCGGCUUACUAAGUCCAUCUUAAAAGUGCGGGGCUUAACCCCGUGAUGGGAUGGAAACUGGAAAGCUGGAGUAUCGGAGAGGAAAGUGGAAUUCCUAGUGUAGCGGUGAAAUGCGUAGAGAUUAGGAAGAACACCGGUGGCGAAGGCGACUUUCUGGACGAAAACUGACGCUGAGGCGCGAAAGCGUGGGGAGCAAACAGGAUUAGAUACCCUGGUAGUCCACGCCGUAAACGAUGGAUACUAGG
Molecule: ribosomal RNA, 797 nt
Filed under: uncultured bacterium
Lineage: Bacteria
Description: bacterial SSU rRNA
Rfam family: Bacterial small subunit ribosomal RNA
Source: RNAcentral